GAUGAACGCUGGCGGCGUGCCUAAUACAUGCAAGUCGAGCGACCGCACGAUAAGCUUUUUUCUCUGCUGUUAGCGACUGACGGGUGAGUAACACGUGGAUCACCUUCCUCUAAGACUUGGAUAACUUCGUGGAACCGCUUCUCCUACUGGCUCAUAUUUUCUACCGCAUGGUUCAGAAGUUAUACACGCUCUUCCUGUCACUUUUAGCUGGUUCCGCGCUGGAUUAGCUAGUUGGUAAGGUAACGGCUUACCAAGGCAACGAUGCUUAGCUGACCUGAGAGGAUGAUCAGCCACACUGGAACUGAGACACGGUCCAGACUCCUACGGGAGGCAGCAGUAGGGAAUCUUCCACAAUGGGCGAAAGCCUGACGGAGCAACGCCGCGUGGGUGAAGAAGGUCUUCGGGUCGUAAAACCCUGUUAUUAGGGAAGAAAAGAAGUAGAAGAAAAUGUGGACAUCUUGACGGUACCUAAAGAGAAAGCCACGGCUAACUACGUG
This 497-nucleotide ribosomal RNA is filed under the name uncultured bacterium. RNAcentral describes it as "partial 16S ribosomal RNA". It matches the Rfam family "Bacterial small subunit ribosomal RNA", at positions 28 to 507 of the family's 1533-position model. The record is from RNAcentral.